GCUGCCUGAUCUGGGGGACAACUACCCGGCCCUCCACAAUAUUUUUAGUUUCUCAUGUGGCCCCAUGGGAUAAAUAAUUGCCCACCCCAUUCCUCCUCAACCCCUGGACAUUCCUUAACCUGGAGCCGCCCGGGGAAAGGAGAAAGUGAAGACAAGAGACUGGGGGACGUCACUCGUCAUCAGAGAGAGCCAGCGUUGCUGUCGCGCACCACCACUACCGCCGCCGCUGGCAUAAAUAGGGUUUUGCCUCAUUGUCUGCUGUACCGUACUUGAAUCCUGCACUGCCGUCUCCUGCUCCUCUGGCCGCUACAGCAACACUAGUGCCCCUGAGCCGGCUGAAGACACUGGCAAGGUAUGGCAGUGGAUCAGAGGGGAUUCUUCUCCUCCUCCUUCUCGUCCUCAGAUUAUAAUUGAAACCUAUCAGCCAGAUGGAACAUAUCAAAGACUUCUUAUUGAUCCUGACAUGCUGAAGUAAAGAAAGUCCGUGAGAAGCUUCACAUUUCCAAUGAGAAAACCCCUGCUACUCUACACCUAGAGUUCCCCUUUACACUUAACCAAUCCAAAAUGAAAACAUGCUGUGUUGUAAGGAUUAUUAUGCCAUUACCCUAAUGAUGAUAUUUCUCUUCACAUUUUCUGAUAUCUCAACAAAUAAAAUGUUUCAUGUUUGUGG
Molecule: long non-coding RNA, 670 nt
Organism: Hyla sarda
Lineage: Eukaryota; Metazoa; Chordata; Amphibia; Anura; Hylidae
Exons: 4
Source: RefSeq, a predicted model, not a curated record